This 253-nucleotide ribosomal RNA is filed under the name uncultured bacterium. RNAcentral describes it as "partial 16S ribosomal RNA". It matches the Rfam family "Bacterial small subunit ribosomal RNA", at positions 524 to 776 of the family's 1533-position model. The record is from RNAcentral.
UACGUAGGUGGCGAGCGUUGUCCGGAUUUACUGGGCGUAAAGGGAGCGUAGGCGGACUUUCAAGUGAGAUGUGAAAUACUCGGGCUCAACUUGAGUGCUGCAUUUCAAACUGGAAGUCUAGAGUGCAGGAGAGGAGAAUGGAAUUCCUAGUGUAGCGGUGAAAUUCGUAGAGAUUAGGAAGAACACCAGUGGCGAAGGCGAUUCUCUGGACUGUAACUGACGCUGAGGCUCGAAAGCGUGGGGAGCAAACAGG